Molecule: non-coding RNA, 26 nt
Filed under: Homo sapiens (human)
Lineage: Eukaryota; Metazoa; Chordata; Mammalia; Primates; Hominidae
Source: RNAcentral
UCCUGUCCUGUCUGCUUCUUGUGUCA